AGUGGCGGACGGGUGAGUAACGCGUGAGAAUCUGCCUUGGGGUCGGGGACAACCACUGGAAACGGUGGCUAAUACCGGAUACGCCUUCGGGUAAAAGAUUUAUUGCCCUAAGAGGAGCUCGCGUCUGAUUAGCUAGUUGGUGAGGUAAGAGCUCACCAAGGCAGCGAUCAGUAGCUGGUCUGAGAGGACGAUCAGCCACACUGGGACUGAGACACGGCCCAGACUCCUACGGGAGGCAGCAGUGGGGAAUUUUCCGCAAUGGGCGAAAGCCUGACGGAGCAAGACCGCGUGAGGGAGGAAGGCUCUUAGGUUGUAAACCUCUUUUCUCAGGGAAGAAGCUCUGACGGUACCUGAGGAAUCAGCCUCGGCUAACUCCGUGCCAGCAGCCGCGGUAAUACGGAGGAGGCAAGCGUUAUCCGGAAUUAUUGGGCGUAAAGCGUCCGCAGGUGGCGAUUCAAGUCUGCUGUCAAAGCACGGGGCUUAACUCCGUAAAGGCAGUGGAAACUGAAUAGCUAGAGUGCCGUAGGGGUAGAGGGAAUUCCCGGUGUAGCGGUGAAAUGCGUAGAGAUCGGGAAGAACAUCGGUGGCGAAAGCGCUCUACUGGACGGCAACUGACACUCAGGGACGAAAGCUAGGGGAGCGAAUGGGAUUAGAUACCCC
This 660-nucleotide ribosomal RNA is filed under the name uncultured bacterium. RNAcentral describes it as "bacterial SSU rRNA". It matches the Rfam family "Bacterial small subunit ribosomal RNA", at positions 94 to 788 of the family's 1533-position model. The record is from RNAcentral.